CCCGCCCCCCUCCCUGGGGCCGGCGACUGACUAGAGGUUUCGGUGGCGAGCGGUCGCUAGGGAGUCCAUUGGCCGGCGGUGAGGCUGCGGCGGCGCUUGGAUGCGCCCACUGGCCGGCAGCGAGGAGAGCGGGGAUGCGGGAUGCUUCCCGAUUGGUGGCGGCUUCGCGGCGGGCUUCGCGGCGUGUUGUUUGGCCUGCGGCAUGGCUGGUGUUCUGGGAGCCGAUGCACGCAGAGCUGUUUGUGUGUCGCAAUGGCUGCGAGUAGGAGAAGCAGCGCUUCGCACACCUCUGCGUCCUCAUAGUCAGUUGUAAUUGAGAAGGCCAUAGCACGGGCUUGUUCAUCACCAGAAUCCGUGGUAAUCGAUUUUGGUCCCCUUACCUGAGUGCCACUAUUAGCCCUAACCUCCAGAUCCCGCCCAUAUUCACCAGAAAAAAAUCCGUCAUCAUAUUUCAGCCGGCAAGGUAAAUUUUCACCUCCCCUCAUGUGACUAAGAGAAGCCAGAUAAAAAUUGACGAGAGAAGCCAGACAACCGAUCGAAGAAAGGAAUGAAAACAAAAGAUAGAGAGAAGCUGCAUUUAUUCCCCAAUGGUUAGGUGUACCUUCUACAAUUUUUAUCAGGAAGUCCAUCUGAUUCUGUCAUGCCUAUCAAUGGGGAUAAUGAGAUUGCGAAUAUGCCCACGUCUUCAGAGUUGUUGACGGUCUCUAUGUGGAAGGGUUCAUAACUUUCUCUAGGUGCAGACCUGAAUACUAGUGGUACACACUUGCAACUAGCAAAAUUUGCAAGAUGCAGGGUCAGCUUUUCUUUUUACAAUGGAUGGUACGUUUGUAGCUCUUUGUCUCGUCCAUCAAAACACUUCAACACCUGCAGUACACUAACCUUUCUCAGUUUUGCUUCUCGCAUUUUUACAUUCUGCUCAAGGUGAAUGUUGAAUGAAUUUGUAUGGUACGCUAGAUUUCUUACAUGGGUGGUUGGAAACCUUAUGCUCGUAGUUACUAACCCUCACCCAGCCUGUCAAUAUACAAGGAUGCUGCAAAUUUGAGUUAGAUUUACUUUAAUUGCCAUCAGGUGGACGCUGAUCCUCACCCAGCCUGUCAAAUUUCACAGAUUUUUUGGUUUAGCCCACCCCCAAUCCAGGAGUUAUCUUGUAUAACAGGAAAAUAUGAUUGUUCAUUCAGGUUAUUGCUUGUUUUUUUGUAGGAAAACCAGAUGGUAAUCUUCUAUUUUUGGCGAUUAAUCAUGCGAUUCUAUCUAUAUAGGCUCCAUCAAUUCAGUUUAUUCUGUAGCCAUGGAUACUGUAAAGAAGAUCCACACCAUCAUCUUUGCUUAUUUUUAUAUACUGUAAGGUGCUUGUUUGCACUAACCUAUUUUCCUAUCUUGCAAAGCUAUCCAUUAAAAUAUGGUUAAUUUCUUCCCCGUAUUCUUUACCGUUGUAACACUAGAUUUGAUAUGCAUUUAUUUUGUUCCAUUUAAUAUUGAUUCGAUGAUAUGUGUCUGAUGAAUUAUGGGGAGUAUCUCUUUCACAUUGUGUCUGAUGAAUUAUGGGGAGUAUCUCUUUCACACUAAUGUUAGUUGUGAGCCAACCUAGUAGUUUCAUGAACUUCAAUUGCUUUUCAGGUUUUUACUUACGACAUUAUCAACCUCAAAUUGUUAGCUCCUUUUGUUCAUCACAGAGCGAUGAAGUUUAGUAGCACAACUUCUAGUAAUAUUAUGAAAAUCCAUAUUGAAGUGACUUAAGAUGCAUGUGUAUUUUAUUUUGAUGACACUCUCUGGUGCCAGACUAGUAAGCUUAGACAAUGGCGUAAAUAGUAAGACACGGACUAUUUCAAUAUGAUGACUCCCACCAUUGUAUUUGGCACAAUUUGUCUUGUUUCAGAGUUUUCGCUUUUUGUCUUGUUUCUCUUUAUACUUUUGAUUCAUACCUGCAGCGUGCGUGUUAUGUGUUCAUGUGAUUCUGAUCAAUUUGGUACAUCAAAAAUCCCUCUGGGAUAUCUUUGAUUUCAACAUUGCUACCAGUUUAGCGUAGUGAAGCCUGUUAAUCCUAGAGUGUUCGGUGUGCUCAUCUAUUGGGGGCCUCUACAUGUUUGUUGUUAUACUUCUGAGAACUAAAAAUAUUAUGUUUUUCAGGCAUCUGUCCAAGUGGUUGACGGCUAAUGUAUGAGGGAUACAGAGUAAUUUCUUUGUAUUUAUGGUUGGUAUGAGUAAUGCCAUGGAUAAGAAUAUUUUAGUCACCCUGGAGAAAUGGCUGGACAAGUAACUUGAUGGGAAAUCUCUGGUCAUCUGCAAAGUAAGCUAAUCGAAGAUCAAGUUCGACAGUACUCAAUAUUCGAGUUCAGCGGUACUCAGUUUUCAAGUUCAGGAGCACUCAGUUUUAUAAUAGUGAUUUCUAAAAUGUUUCAUGCUGCUGGUUACCUAGUGCUAAGUUGCAUUUAAUUGUCCGGACGAAUUUUAUUUGUAAUCGUAAGGAUGGAUUUCUUAUGUGAGAAAUUUCCCGGAACCACUACAUGGAAUUUAUUUAUUAGACAACUUUGUUAUGCCGUGGUUACCAAAAAUGCCUCGUGUACAUGAUGAAUUA
Long non-coding RNA from Triticum urartu, 2575 nucleotides. RefSeq lists it as uncharacterized. The record is from RefSeq and is a predicted model, not a curated record. NCBI's taxonomy places the organism in Eukaryota, Viridiplantae, Streptophyta, Magnoliopsida, Poales, Poaceae.